AUGGUAACACACAGCACAUAUACUAAAAUCAGAACAAUACAGAGAUCAGCAUGGCCCCUGCACAGGAUGACACGCAAACUCAUGAAGCAUUGUAUAAAAAA
RNAcentral lists this small nuclear RNA (101 nucleotides) under Microtus ochrogaster (prairie vole). The record is from RNAcentral. Lineage: Eukaryota; Metazoa; Chordata; Mammalia; Rodentia; Cricetidae.